CACAAACACAAAGGACUGCAUCCGAGCAUACCCACGCUUUUUUCCCCCAAUUUCGGAGGGAAAAUUUGAAGAAAGCUCGGGGGAAAGUCCCCGGACAUAUAGUAGUCCCAAGACUGCCGUGUAAAAACGGCUUGUCCUCCCCUUGCACGCAAAGAGAUGAGCAUCCCUUGGGGCGGCCUUUUUCGUCCUGAGUGAUAGUCAUGCAGUUUUAAAACUCGAUGGGGCUUACUCUUGUGAUUGU
RNAcentral lists this RNase MRP RNA (241 nucleotides) under Neolecta irregularis DAH-3. Its description in RNAcentral is "RNase MRP". It matches the Rfam family "RNase MRP". Rfam says of the family: RNase MRP is an enzymatically active ribonucleoprotein with two distinct roles in eukaryotes. In mitochondria it plays a direct role in the initiation of mitochondrial DNA replication. The record is from Rfam by way of RNAcentral. Lineage: Eukaryota; Fungi; Ascomycota; Neolectomycetes; Neolectales; Neolectaceae.